RNAcentral lists this ribosomal RNA (543 nucleotides) under uncultured Glomeromycotina. RNAcentral describes it as "SSU rRNA". It matches the Rfam family "Eukaryotic small subunit ribosomal RNA", at positions 552 to 1096 of the family's 1831-position model. The record is from RNAcentral. Lineage: Eukaryota; Fungi; Glomeromycota.
AGGGCAAGUCUGGUGCCAGCAGCCGCGGUAAUUCCAGCUCCAAUAGCGUAUAUUAAAGUUGUUGCAGUUAAAAAGCUCGUAGUUGAAUUUCGGGGUCAGCAGGUUGGUCGUGCCAAUGGUAUGCACUGGCCUUGCUGAUUCCUCCCUCUUGAUGAGCCGUAAUGCCAUCAAUUUGGUGUUGUGGGGAAUCAGGACUGUUACUUUGAAAAAAUUAGAGUGUUUAAAGCAGGCAAGCGCUUGAAUACAUUAGCAUGGAAUAAUGAAAUAGGACGUUCGAUCCUAUUUUGUUGGUUUCUAGGAUUGACGUAAUGAUUAAUAGGGAUAGUUGGGGGCAUUAGUAUUCAAUUGUCAGAGGUGAAAUUCUUGGAUUUAUUGAAGACUAACUACUGCGAAAGCAUUUGCCAAGGAUGUUUUCAUUAAUCAAGAACGAAAGUUAGGGGAUCGAAGACGAUCAGAUACCGUCGUAGUCUUAACCAUAAACUAUGCCGACUAGGGAUCGGAUGAUGUUAAUUUUUUAAUGACUCAUUCGGCGCCUUACGGGAA